This 217-nucleotide unclassified non-coding RNA is filed under the name Hevea brasiliensis (rubber tree). The record is from RNAcentral. Lineage: Eukaryota; Viridiplantae; Streptophyta; Magnoliopsida; Malpighiales; Euphorbiaceae.
GGGAGACACAAAAUCUGUAGUGUUUCUUGAAAAGGAUAUUCCCAACUUUGAUUCUAAUUGAUGCUUAACCUUUAAGGAAAUUAUUGUGUGUGCUUAUAUUUAGUGCUUAAACGGCCUCCAUUGUGUUUCUAAUGCUGGAAUUCUCGCAUCUACAUGAAAAUCUGUCCAUGAACCAAUGCUCAUGCAUAUUCACGUGCAUUGGAUUUGAGAUGUUUGC